RNAcentral lists this ribosomal RNA (369 nucleotides) under Triticum aestivum (bread wheat). Its description in RNAcentral is "partial small subunit ribosomal RNA". The stretch from base 178 to 369 matches the Rfam family "Bacterial large subunit ribosomal RNA", at positions 1 to 206 of the family's 2925-position model. Lineage: Eukaryota; Viridiplantae; Streptophyta; Magnoliopsida; Poales; Poaceae. The record is from RNAcentral.
AUGUCAGCGGUUCGAGUCCGCUUAUCUCCAGCCCGUGAACUUAGCGGAUACUAUGAUAGCGAUAGCACCGAUUGCCAAUUCGGUAGUUCGAUCUAUGAUUUCACAUUCAUGGACGUUGAUAAGAUCCUUCCAUUUAGUAGCACCUUAGGAUGGCAUAGCCUUAACGUUAAUGGCAAGCUUCAAAAGAGGAAAGGCUUGCGAUGGAUACCUAGGCACCCAGAGACGAGGAAGGGCGUAGCAAGCGACGAAAUGCUUCGGGGAGUUGAAAAUAAGCAUAGAUCCGGAGAUUCCCAAAUAGGUCAACCUUUUAAACUGCCUGCUGAAUCCAUGAGCAGGCAAGAGACAACCUGGCGAACUGAAACAUCUUAG